This 356-nucleotide unclassified non-coding RNA is filed under the name soil metagenome. RNAcentral describes it as "partial contains 5.8S ribosomal RNA, internal transcribed spacer 2, and large subunit ribosomal RNA". The stretch from base 1 to 120 matches the Rfam family "5.8S ribosomal RNA", at positions 35 to 154 of the family's 154-position model. The record is from RNAcentral.
GAUGAAGAACGUAGCUAAAUGCGAUAAGUAGUGUGAAUUGCAGAAUUCAGUGAAUCAUCGAAUCUUUGAACGCACAUUGCGCCUUCUAGUAUUCUGGGAGGCAUGCCUGUUUGAGCGUCAUUAAACCUCUCUCAAGUAUGAUUACUUGGAUGUGAAGGAAGAGUACCUUAAACUUAAGGAGUGUUCUCCUUUGAAAUUGAUUAGCAGAUGGUAAUGUUAUUAAAUCCCUGAUGUUGUAAGAAAUAACAGUGGUUUUGUAGACUAUUAUCUAGCUUUAAAUUAUAAUUUUUAUUAUGGUUGACCUCAAAUCAGGUAAGGAUACCCGCUGAACUUAAGCAUAUCAAAUAAGCGGAGGA